UACGUAGGGGGCAAGCGUUGUCCGGAUUUAUUGGGCGUAAAGAGCGUGUAGGCGGCCAGGUAGGUCUGACGUGAAAUCUCGAGGCUCAACCUCGAACGGUCGUUGGAUACCGCCUGGCUAGAGUCCGGAAGAGGAGAGUGGAAUUCCUGGUGUAGCGGUGAAAUGCGCAGAUAUCAGGAAGAACACCUAUGGCGAAGGCAGCUCUCUGGGACGGUACUGACGCUGAGACGCGAAAGCGUGGGGAGCAAACAGGAUUAGAUACCCUGGUAGUCCACGCCGUAAACGAUGGGCGCUAGGUGUGGGUGGUGUCGACUCCACCCGUGCCGAAGCUAACGCAUUAAGCGCCCCGCCUGGGGAGUACGGCCGCAAGGCUA
RNAcentral lists this ribosomal RNA (374 nucleotides) under uncultured Gaiellaceae bacterium. RNAcentral's name for it is "bacterial SSU rRNA". It matches the Rfam family "Bacterial small subunit ribosomal RNA", at positions 524 to 896 of the family's 1533-position model. The record is from RNAcentral. Lineage: Bacteria; Bacillati; Actinomycetota; Thermoleophilia; Gaiellales; Gaiellaceae.